ACUGAACUAUCCCUUUAAGGUCUUCUGUCCAGCCAAUAACAGGGAGGGCAUGAUUCGCCAAAUCCCCGCAGCUGUGCCAAUCAAGCCCACCUGGCGCUGCUCCGGCAGCUGAGAGCCAGAACCACGCUCGCCUCCACCAAGGCUUGUGACCAACACUCGCUUGUCCGCGCAGCUGAUUUAGUGAUGUCACCGACUGAAGCCUGUACUGAUGGCUACGGACGCUUAUGGGUGAAGAUGAAUCUCGCAUUGAAGCACAGAGCUUCUGCUGCCUGUCGACACCGCCGACACAUCUCACCCAGCCUCUGAGUCACAGCUACCUGCCUCUGCGUGGGUGACAGAGGAACCAGAAGUAAGGCGAAGGCGGACAAAAAGGAGAGACGCAGCGGAGUAGACGACGGAUUGAAGACUAAAGUAUUGUCUCUACCGGCUCCUUGUUAGGGGCAGGCUCAGGUGGCUCACGGAGGCUGAGAUGGAUGAGGUGUCGGCCCGACGGCGACCCACAGGCAUCCUCAAAGAGCAGCACCAACGGCCAACGUCCCGCCGGCCUGUCAGGUCCGGC
Molecule: long non-coding RNA, 559 nt
Organism: Scophthalmus maximus (turbot)
Lineage: Eukaryota; Metazoa; Chordata; Actinopteri; Pleuronectiformes; Scophthalmidae
Exons: 4
Source: RefSeq, a predicted model, not a curated record